GAUGAACGCUGGCGGCGUACCUAAUACAUGCAAGUCGAGCGAACGGACGAGAAGCUUGCUUCUCUGAUGUUAGCGGCGGACGGGUGAGUAACACGUGGAUAACCUACCUAUAAGACUGGGAUAACUUCGGGAAACCGGAGCUAAUACCGGAUAAUAUUUUGAACCGCAUGGUUCAAAAGUGAAAGACGGUCUUGCUGUCACUUAUAGAUGGAUCCGCGCUGCAUUAGCUAGUUGGUAAGGUAACGGCUUACCAAGGCAACGAUGCAUAGCCGACCUGAGAGGGUGAUCGGCCACACUGGAACUGAGACACGGUCCAGACUCCUACGGGAGGCAGCAGUAGGGAAUCUUCCGCAAUGGGCGAAAGCCUGACGGAGCAACGCCGCGUGAGUGAUGAAGGUCUUCGGAUCGUAAAACUCUGUUAUUAGGGAAGAACAUAUGUGUAAGUAACUGUGCACAUCUUGACGGUACCUAAUCAGAAAGCCACGGCUAACUACGU
This 496-nucleotide ribosomal RNA is filed under the name uncultured bacterium. RNAcentral's name for it is "partial 16S ribosomal RNA". It matches the Rfam family "Bacterial small subunit ribosomal RNA", at positions 28 to 506 of the family's 1533-position model. The record is from RNAcentral.